Molecule: ribosomal RNA, 279 nt
Filed under: uncultured bacterium
Lineage: Bacteria
Description: partial 16S ribosomal RNA
Rfam family: Bacterial small subunit ribosomal RNA
Source: RNAcentral
UGCCAGCAGCCGCGGUAAUACGAAGGGACCUAGCGUAGUUCGGAAUUACUGGGCUUAAAGAGUUCGUAGGUGGUUGAAAUAGUUGGUGGUGAAAUCCCAGGGCUUAACUCUGGAACUGCCAUCAAAACUUUUUAGCUAGAGUAUGAUAGAGGAAAGCAGAAUUUCUAGUGUAGAGGUGAAAUUCGUAGAUAUUAGAAAGAAUACCAAUUGCGAAGGCAGCUUUCUGGAUCAUUACUGACACUGAGGAACGAAAGCAUGGGUAGCGAAGAGGAUUAGAUA